ACGUUAUUCGGAAUCACUGGGCUUAAAGCGCGUGUAGGCGGGGCGGCACGUCGGGUGCUGAAAUCCCCCGGCUUAACCGGGGAAGGGGCGCCGAUACGGCCGCCCUCGAGGGGCGUAGGGGGAGCCGGAACUUCCGGUGGAGCGGUGAAAUGCGUUGAGAUCGGAAGGAACGCCCGUGGCGAAAGCGGGCUCCUGGACGCCAACUGACGCUGAGACGCGAAAGCCA
RNAcentral lists this ribosomal RNA (226 nucleotides) under uncultured bacterium. Its description in RNAcentral is "partial 16S ribosomal RNA". It matches the Rfam family "Bacterial small subunit ribosomal RNA", at positions 538 to 762 of the family's 1533-position model. The record is from RNAcentral.